This 321-nucleotide ribosomal RNA is filed under the name Averyella sp. RNAcentral's name for it is "bacterial SSU rRNA". It matches the Rfam family "Bacterial small subunit ribosomal RNA", at positions 99 to 423 of the family's 1533-position model. Lineage: Bacteria; Pseudomonadati; Pseudomonadota; Gammaproteobacteria; Enterobacterales; Enterobacteriaceae. The record is from RNAcentral.
CGGACGGGUGAGUAAUGCCUGGGAAACUGCCUGGUAGAGGGGGAUAACUACUGGAAACGAAAGCUAAUACCGCAUACGUCCUACGGGAGAAAGCAGGGGACCUUCGGGCCUUGCGCCAUCAGAUGUGCCCAGGUGGGAUUAGCUAGUUGGUGAGGUAAUGGCUCACCAAGGCGACGAUCCCUAGCUGGUCUGAGAGGAUGAUCAGCCACACUGGAACUGAGACACGGUCCAGACUCCUACGGGAGGCAGCAGUGGGGAAUAUUGCACAAUGGGCGAAAGCCUGAUGCAGCCAUGCCGCGUGUGUGAAGAAGGCCUUCGGGU